AUUGAACGCUGGCGGCAUGCUUUACACAUGCAAGUCGAACGGUAACAGGUCUUCGGAUGCUGACGAGUGGCGAACGGGUGAGUAAUACAUCGGAACGUGCCUAGUAGUGGGGGAUAACUACUCGAAAGAGUAGCUAAUACCGCAUGAGAUCUACGGAUGAAAGCAGGGGACCUUCGGGCCUUGUGCUACUAGAGCGGCUGAUGGCAGAUUAGGUAGUUGGUGGGGUAAAGGCUUACCAAGCCUGCGAUCUGUAGCUGGUCUGAGAGGACGACCAGCCACACUGGGACUGAGACACGGCCCAGACUCCUACGGGAGGCAGCAGUGGGGAAUUUUGGACAAUGGGCGAAAGCCUGAUCCAGCAAUGCCGCGUGCAGGAUGAAGGCCCUCGGGUUGUAAACUGCUUUUGUACGGAACGAAAAGCCUGGGGCUAAUAUCCCCGGGUCAUGACGGUACCGUAAGAAUAAGCACCGGCUAACUACGUGCCAGCAGCCGCGGUAAUACGUAGGGUGCAAGCGUUAAUCGGAAUUACUGGGCGUAAAGCGUGCGCAGGCGGUUUUGUAAGACAGUGGUGAAAUCCCCGGGCUCAACCUGGGAACUGCCAUUGUGACUGCAAGGCUAGAG
RNAcentral lists this ribosomal RNA (621 nucleotides) under uncultured bacterium. RNAcentral describes it as "bacterial SSU rRNA". It matches the Rfam family "Bacterial small subunit ribosomal RNA", at positions 28 to 646 of the family's 1533-position model. The record is from RNAcentral.